Molecule: transfer RNA, 68 nt
Filed under: Marmota monax (woodchuck)
Lineage: Eukaryota; Metazoa; Chordata; Mammalia; Rodentia; Sciuridae
Description: tRNA.Ala
Source: RNAcentral
GUUGUAGCUCAGUGGUAGAGCACAUGUCUAGCACAUGUGAGGCACUGGGUUCAAUACUCUGUACCACA